AGUGAACGCUGGCGGUAGGCCUAACACAUGCAAGUCGAACGGCAGCACAGUAAGAGCUUGCUCUUACGGGUGGCGAGUGGCGGACGGGUGAGGAAUACAUCGGAAUCUACUUUUUCGUGGGGGAUAACGUAGGGAAACUUACGCUAAUACCGCAUACGACCUACGGGUGAAAGCAGGGGAUCUUCGGACCUUGCGCGAUUGAAUGAGCCGAUGUCGGAUUAGCUAGUUGGCGGGGUAAAGGCCCACCAAGGCGACGAUCCGUAGCUGGUCUGAGAGGAUGAUCAGGCCACACGGAAACGGGAACACGGCCCAAACCCCAAGGGAAGCCGGAGUGGGGAAUAUUGGACCAAGGGGCGAAGCCUGAAUCCGGCCAAACCGCUGGGUGAAGAAGGGCCUUCGGUUUGAAAGGCCCUUUGGUGGGAAAAAAAAGCCGGAAGGUAAAAACCCGGCGGUUCGGACGUUACCAAAAGAAUAGGCACCGCCAAAUUUCGG
This 492-nucleotide ribosomal RNA is filed under the name uncultured bacterium. RNAcentral's name for it is "partial 16S ribosomal RNA". It matches the Rfam family "Bacterial small subunit ribosomal RNA", at positions 29 to 506 of the family's 1533-position model. The record is from RNAcentral.